RNAcentral lists this ribosomal RNA (484 nucleotides) under uncultured bacterium. Its description in RNAcentral is "partial 16S ribosomal RNA". It matches the Rfam family "Bacterial small subunit ribosomal RNA", at positions 30 to 507 of the family's 1533-position model. The record is from RNAcentral.
AUUGAACGCUGGCGGCAGGCCUAACACAUGCAAGUCGAGCGGAUGAAGGGAGCUUGCUCCUGGAUUCAGCGGCGGACGGGUGAGUAAUGCCUAGGAAUCUGCCUGGUAGUGGGGGAUAACGUCCGGAAACGGGCGCUAAUACCGCAUACGUCCUGAGGGAGAAAGUGGGGGAUCUUCGGACCUCACGCUAUCAGAUGAGCCUAGGUCGGAUUAGCUAGUUGGUGGGGUAAAGGCCUACCAAGGCGACGUUCCGUAACUGGUCUGAGAGGAUGAUCAGUCACACUGGAACUGAGACACGGUCCAGACUCCUACGGGAGGCAGCAGUGGGGAAUAUUGGACAAAGGGCGAAAGCCUGAUCCAGCCAUGCCGCGUGUGUGAAGAAGGUCUUCGGAUUGUAAAGCACUUUAAGUUGGGAGGAAGGGCAGUAAGUUAAUACCUUGCUGUUUUGACGUUACCAACAGAAUAAGCACCGGCUAACUUCGUG